GACGAACGCUGGCGGCGUGCUUAACACAUGCAAGUCGAACGGAAAGGCCCUGCUUUUGCGGGGUGCUCGAGUGGCGAACGGGUGUGUAACACGUGAGUCACCUUCCCUUGACUUUAGGAUAUCUUCAGGCAACUGGGGCUAAUACCGGCUAGGAGCUCCUGCUGCAUGGGGGGGGUUGGACAGUUUCGGCGGAUGGGGAUGGACUCGCGGCUUAUCAGCUUGUUGGUGGGGUAGUGGCUUACCAAGCCAUCGGAGGCUAGCCGGCCUGGGAGGGGAGACAGCGACAUGGGUACUGAGGGAGGGCCCAGACUGCUACGGGAGGCAGCAGGGGGGAAUAUUGCACAACGGGGGGAAGCGUGAUGAGGAAGCGUUGCGAGCGGGAUGACGGCCUUCGUGGGAGAAACGGCAUUCGCCUGAGACGAAGCGUGAGUGACGGUAAUGGGUAAAGAAGCACCGGCUAACUACGUG
This 468-nucleotide ribosomal RNA is filed under the name uncultured bacterium. Its description in RNAcentral is "partial 16S ribosomal RNA". It matches the Rfam family "Bacterial small subunit ribosomal RNA", at positions 28 to 507 of the family's 1533-position model. The record is from RNAcentral.